Molecule: long non-coding RNA, 2374 nt
Organism: Monodelphis domestica (gray short-tailed opossum)
Lineage: Eukaryota; Metazoa; Chordata; Mammalia; Didelphimorphia; Didelphidae
Source: Ensembl
AGCUGCCUGGCUGUAUCGAUAACGAACUCAAUCGGUCCGCACCCUCAUAGUUGACACAGCCUCGACACACUGGCUCCGUGAAGUCCCAAAUCAUGGCCCAGGGCAUGCGGGGCAGGUCGCACACGCCGAGGACAUGGUGCCGGCCCGGGGGACGGAGGGUGAGGGGAGGGGGGGAAGGGCCAGAUUGGUCCCUACCCGCCCAGGCUGCUGUUGCUCUUUCUCCUCCGGGGAGGGCUGGCGGGCGGGGGAAGGAGUACAGGAGGAAGGGGGGAGAAGAUUCUGUCUCCUGCCACUCGCUGCCGCUGCGCCUCUUGGUGGUUGCUCCACCACCUGGGUGGCAGAGUAGCUUGCCUCCUUGCCCCCGCCUCCUAUUGCAGUUUUCUGGCAGGGGAGGGGAAAUCGGUCGACUUCUUCCUGGUGCUGUUGCCCCUGGGACAGGGGUGCUGGGAACGGGGUGGGGGUAGGGGAAGAACGUAGUGCCCCGCUGUUACUGUCACUGCUGCUUUUCCUCUCUAGGAUUUCUGUCCUCUUCCCUGGGCAGGGGGCAGAGAGGUGUUAAGGGCUACCGUACUCUACCCUCAGCUUGUCUCCGAUCUCGCUUGCUGCCGCUGCUUCUCCGGAGGGAAGAGGAACAGGAGGGACGGGAAGAGUAUGAGGAAGGGAAGAGAGAGGGCAACAGGAGAAAGGUACACGGAGAGCCACUGGCAGCCGUCCUGGCCCUCCUGCAGCACUGGAUGUUCCGCCUGGUGGCUGUAAGAUUUUGCACACGCUGAGCCGCCGCCGCUGCUUCCCGGACGCACACCAGAUGAAAGGAGUAGCCAGGGGUUCAGCAGACCCCGGCCCUGUUCCCGGCUGCCGCGGCUGCCGCAGCUCACGUAGGGUGCAUGGCUCUCCGUCGGUUCUGCCUCUGUCACAUCCCGUUCGGAAUUGGAAUGUGGGAAUUGUGAUUGUUACUCUACGUUCCAGAGGCGCGUCUCGCGCUCCCGCUCGGGCUGCAGCUCGCGCUGUCCCCGGCUCAGCCGCGCGGGAUGCCGCCCGGGCGGAGCGGUGACGUCACCGCCAUGCUCUGCACCAGUCCCCCUCCCCUUUACACUUCCUCUGUCUGUAGAGCCCACUUGUUGCAUAGAGAAUGCGCAUGCUCGGCACACAGCCCAGAUUCCUCCCAGCCUUUCCCCUCCUCCCGCUUCUCCCCGCCCUCCCCGGACUCUGUGUGUACAACAGCUGAAGCAAUGCAAGUUAAUGCUAGAAAUCAAGUGAAGAAAUACCCAGGGCUAUGUUUGGAAAUUAAACAGAAGAUGAUCUUUCUCUCCCCUCCCUUCCCAAGCCGAUGCCCAGCUUUCCAAUGUGAAAAUGCAUUCAGGAAACAUGGAUCAUUUCCCCCCCUGUGAGUUCAAAUGUCUCAUUUCAGAAUUUUAGCUGUAAAUUUCAUAAGAGACAUUACCCAUCACAUUUAGAGUUUUCUAACAGGGAUCAAGCCAUUUUCCGUGCGGGUAUUUUAUAUCAUUUUCCACUGUUAAUGCCACAAUGCACAGCACCAACAAAAUUAGCUCUUUAGCAAUCUCAUCCUGUUUUUCCUAUUUAUUGGUUUCCAUUCUUGAUCGAGGGACCAUAGGAAUUGGAGUUUCAGUGAAUGAUGGUGCUGGAGACAGACUGAGCUAUCCCAUUUUUCAUUUCUGGCACAUAGUGGCCCAGCAGAUGCUAAGUUGUGAAACCAGGGGCUGUAUAACCUGGGCUCUUAGUAUGCUGAAGGGUGCUGGAGAGGCCAAACAGGUGAGUAAUUUAUGUGUUUGCUAAUGGAAAGGGAAACAGGAUUCCCUCUGUUUAAUAACAAUAAUACAUUGCAUUUUUAGAACUUGAGCUCAUUUGCUAGUGCUGUGAGAAAGGCAAAACAAGGCCAUUCUGCCUCCUUUUUUAGAAUGCCCUUUGCUCAGGACAUUUACCUUACAGCAGAACAAACACUGCUCAAAUCAGCCCGAGUUAGUGUAUUUAAAAGGUUACUGCCAAAUCAUGGGGGGAGAGAAGGACCCUUCUCCUGAAAACCCACCAUGGAAACAAACAAGAAAAUACUCUUUUUUUUUUGGUAGAGAUUCUUUAGGACAUAUGGCAAUCUCAUCAUGCCCUCCCCCCACAUGCCACUCUCAGUAAUACCUUCUCACAGUCUCAGUCUUAUUGCACCACCCUGGGGCUUCAGCUCCUACGGGAAAGAUUUUAUAAGGGAAGGAGCAGUAGGAGGAAAGAUGGCUCUGGGGACCCCUGCCUUUUAUUCCCUCUGCAGUCAGUUUCUGCUUUUUGCAGAACUGUUUUUGCAAAACAAUGAAAUUGCUGUCCACUCCCCAACAAUAAUAAACUUUCACUGCCAGGCUUGCCUGGAUCA